GUGGGAGAACUGCACAUCAAACAAAACAAUAUCUAAGAGAAGGAAGAGGAGGAAGAGGAGCGCAGACAUGCAGUGAGUCGAUGUGUGACAAAAACAAGAGCCACAUACAGCUGGAUUAUUAUGAGCAUAGAUUAUGUCGGUGGGGAGGAACAGGGACAACACAGCGGCUCUGGAGGUUUCCUUAAAACGUGGUGCAGAAGGGCCGAGGAGCCGACAGUGACCUCUGUAAGAACUACAGCUUAGUGCAGCAGCCUUCCUCCUCUACAUUUUUUGGAUAUUUUGUGACGUUUUUGCAGUUUUUUCUGUUGAAAAACUUUCUUAGCGGCAAUAUUCAGGAUUUAGUGUCAGGAUUCAGGAAACGUUUCCACGUGUGUUUAGUUUAGUGCUUUAGUGCCACAUGCUUUCAUCCCAUAUUCACCUUUUUGAAGAUAAGUAGCCUACCGACUACCGAGUGCGUCAUCGUCAAACUCAUCACGGUCCCACAGACGCGCGCGAGGACAUGUCCCCCGGUGUCCCGGCUGUCUCGCUCUUCAACACCUCCCGUCUCUUCACCAAACAAGCGCUAUUCCACGGAUUGGUCGCUCGCCCGAAACUACAGUGCACGGCCGGGGCCUUUUCCCAACCCGCGUCACGAGGCUUCGUCUUCGGAUGCCUGCGUGCGCUGCACCGCUGCUGAUCAUCUGACGCGUGGCGGCUCCGCACCAAUGAGCUGAAUCGAGAGCACCGGCGGUGGCGUCUGAGCGCAGCAUCUCUCUGACUCCAGAUCGGGGCGACGAUCGGCGGGGAUGCUGGCGGAUGGAUCCGGGCGGUAACGAGUGUGUUUUUUUAAGGGACGCUGGCGCAGGACGGACGGAUGGUUAACCGAAGGACACCGGUGAAUUGGUGACGUGAAGAUGGAGAGGGGACCGCUGCUGCUGUCACCGCCACGCACACACCACUAGUCGGGGACUGGGAGGACUGCGUGGCGCGUUCGGCUGCGCAGAGGGGAGCGACUCGGUUCAACCUCAGAAGCUCUGUUGUCUCCGCUGCUCAGACCUGCAGGGCGGCUCUCCCGCCGCCGGCUGCACAUUGAGGAAUGUGAGGCAGGCACUGUGGUGCAGAGAAACGGGCCAGACCGAAGAGCAUCGGACCAAUGAUGGAUUUUCCGUGUGAUGAGAGGGAUAAAGGCCCGCCGGUACAGAUGCACAGCCUCAGAGAGUUCGAGCAG
Molecule: long non-coding RNA, 1207 nt
Organism: Gasterosteus aculeatus aculeatus (three-spined stickleback)
Lineage: Eukaryota; Metazoa; Chordata; Actinopteri; Perciformes; Gasterosteidae
Source: Ensembl